Paramuricea clavata is the source of this 73-nucleotide non-coding RNA. Lineage: Eukaryota; Metazoa; Cnidaria; Anthozoa; Malacalcyonacea; Plexauridae. The record is from the annotation of a GenBank genome assembly.
GACCACGUAGCUCAGUUGGCAGAGCAUUGGGCUAGUAUUCCAAAGGUCGUAGGUUCGAUUCCCACCGUGGACA